UUUCUCAAUAAUAGCAUCUACCCUGAUUUUCCUUUAGUAAUUCACCCUUACUGGGCCAUUAUGUUUUCUUUAACUUUGACAUUUGACAUAAUUUCAAACGUAUAGAAAAUUGCAAGAAUAGUACAAAGAAUUCCCAGACACCCUUCACCCAGAUUCCCCAAGUGUUGGCAUUUUAUUACAAUUUCUUUAUAAUUUUCUAUCUACCUGCUUGUUUAACCAGAUGGAUCUGUAUCUAACUAUCAUCUAUCUAUCUAUCUAUCUAUCUAUCUAUCUAUCUAUCUAUCUAUCUAUCAUCUAUUCUAUCUAUAUGUAGGGGUUUUUUCUGAAUAGUUUAAGAGUAAAUGGCAGAUGCAGUGCCCCUUUGACAUUUAAAUGGAGCAAAAAGGAACAGGAUUUUAAGCCAAAGUGAAGUGGUCUGACUUCCAUGAGCUAGCUGCUGUGUUGAGAACUGAGCAGAGUACAGCAAGCAGGGAAGCAGGGAAGCUACUGGCCUGAGCAACUGGAAGGACAAAAUUGCCACUUUCCAAGAUAAAGGAGACUAUGAAAAGAACAGGUGUGGGGAGAAAUUAAAGGUUUGACGUUGGCGCAUGUUCGUUUUAAGGUGCCUAAUUAGUCACUGUUCCAAACCCAGUUUACAAGCCUCUUCCUAUUUGCAGGGUGGGUGUUCCCUCUAACGCUGUAAGACGAUUGUCGGCACCAUCCACCCCUGAGGUUGCAGGCUCACGGGACUCCGGAUCCAGGGAGCUACUGACUCCCACUUGACCUCUGGCCUGCCGCUCCUCCUGUGUGAGGCUGAAUGGUGCCACCUGGGAGUGUGGAGGGGUUCCUGCUCCGUGGUAGAAACUGACCAGGGCGGGAGAGUCUGCAGAAACGUCGCCUUCCUCCUCCUCCGCGGGGGUGAGCCGAGCCGAAGGGGCCCGCAGCGCCGAUGCUCCGAACGCAGUGAGACGAGGCGAACAGCAUUUCCGAAGCGAGAGAGUGAGUGCGCAGGAGUGCCGGUGGGGGGCAGAAGGAGACGCAGAAUGCCAAGCAGGCUCCACGCCAAGGGCAGAGGCUGCCGCAGGACUGGAUUCAGGACCCUGAGAUUAUGAGCUGAGCUGAAAUCAAGAGCCUGUCACUUAACCAGCUGAGUCACCCAGGUGCCCCAAAACUUUUUUUUCUAAUGUGUUUUAUUGCUAUAAAUUUCCCCAUAAGUACUGCAUCCCAUAGAUUAUUUUUUCAAGUAUUUCUCUCUACUUCCUGUCUCACCUUUGAGGACUCAGAUUACAAUUACACGUAUCAGGGCACUUGAAAUUGUACCACAGCCUGUUGAUGCUCUACUCAUUUUUUCUCAGUGUUUUCUUUUCCUCUGCUUUUCAUUUUGCAGAGUUUCUAUUACUAUGUCUUAUAUACUAUAAUUUUUUUCUUCCAUUACACUUUAACUACAAUUAAUCCCAUGUGUGCAUUUUUUGUUGUUUUUGUUUUUAAAUCUUAGACAUUGUAGUUUUUGUCUCUACAAGUUUAGUUUGGUUGCUUUUUUAUAACUUUCAUGUCUCUACCAAACAUACUGUGUUUCCCCUAGCUUCUUGAUCAUAUGGAAUGUAGGUAUAAUUAUCUUAAUGUGCUUGUCUAUUAAUUCUUUGUCAUUUCUGGGCCAAUUUAGUUGAGUGGUUUUUCUUACUAUGGGCUGUAUUUUCCUGCUUCCUUGCAUGAUUUAUAAUUUCUUUUUAAAGAUUUUAUUUAUUUGACAGAGAUAGAUACAGCGAGAGAGGGAACACAAGCAGGGGGAGUGGGAGAGGGAGAAGCAGGCUUCCCGCUGAGCAGGGAGCCCGAUGCAGGGCUCGAUCCCAGGACCCUGGGAUCAUGACCUGAGCUGAAGGCAGACGCUUAACGACUGAGCCACCCAGGCGCCCCACAUGAUUUAUAAUUUUUGAUUGGAUGUCAGACAUUAUGCGUUGUGCCUUAGCGGGUGCUAGAUAUUUUUUAUAUAUUCUUGAGUUUUGUUCUGGGAUAUAUUUAAAUUUGGAUACAGUUUUAUCCUCUCAGGUCUUGCUCUUAAGUAUCUUUUAGGGAAUAUGAGUCUAGGGUUCAUUUUUCUCCACUAAGGAGACGGGACCCUUCCUAUUAUCCAAACCCAGAGUUUCUCAGCCUCAGCAAGGUUAAUAUUUAGGGCUGGGUAAUUUGUUAUGGAUUGUAGGAUGUUUAGCAGCAUCUCUGGCCUCUACCCACUAGAUGCCAGUAGAACCGCUCUUCUCUGGUGUAACAACCCAAAAAAAGGUCUCCGGAUGUUGCCAAAUGUCAGGGAGGGGGGAGGGCAGUAGUGGCGGGCAAAAUUGCACUUGAGAACCAAUGUUCUGAUGCCCUGUGAAUUGAGGUUUUCUACUCAGGUACCCUUGGUGAGCUCCAGUGAUCUCUCUCUAGUCCUUUUGUUUUGAUUUUUAAAGAUUUUAUUUAUUUGAUGGAGAGAGAGACAGCGAGAGAGGGAACACAAGCAGGGGGAAUGGGAGAGGGAGAAGCAGGCUUCCCGCGGAGCAGGGAGCCCGAUGCGGGGCUCGACCCCAAGACCCUGGGAUCAUGACCUGAGCCAAAGGCAGUCGCUUAACCAACUGAGCCACCCGGCGCCCCUCUGUAGUCCUUUUGGAUCAUUCUUUUCCCGCCGCAGGUAGUUUCCCUAUACACAGGUGCUCAUCAGCACUGGACUCAAGGGGGGCCCUUUGCAGAUCUCCAGUGUUCUCUCCUAUCUGGUACAUUGCCCUGCAAAAGCUAGCCACCGUGGCCUCGGAGGACCCCUUGCUCCAUCUUCGCAACUCAGGGAGCCUGCCAGGCUCUGCUCGAGUUCUCUUUCCUGUGCAGUGUGCUAGAAACUCUCUCCAGGUGGUAAACUUGACACUACCCAAACUUGCUUCACUUGUUUCCCAUCUCUCAGGGAUCCCAUGUCUCUGAUCCUUUGCUGUGUGUAUUUUGCAACAUUUGUUCAGGCAGGUUAGAUCUGGUUAUCUUGGCCCAAUGGAUUUUGUGUGUUCAUGACUUAAAAACAAAACAAAUUUCCAUCAUAAUCAGAAAAAUACAGGAGAGGAAUAUUGAUAAUGCAAGAUGGAGUGUUGGGAACAUGCCUUUGAGUAAGUGUGAGAGGACAGGUUAGAGCCAGUGGAGGAUUCAGGCAGAAGCACAGAUGAUCCAAAGUUAAGAGGGAAGAAGGCAGCAUACCAAGAUAUGGACACUUUACUCUUUUCUUUUUUUUCCCUGUUGUAAAUAUCAGUGUAAUAGGUAUACACGGGGAUAGGGAAAGAGAGAACAUUUAUAUAGGUGUAUAGAGAAAAUUAAAGUGUUAAUGGGAUGUUACUAGGAUUGUGAACUUAUGGGUCACUUUUUGGGUGUUUAUUUCUAAACUCUAUUAUUACCUUCAUAAAGAAAAUAUGCAAAGGAACAUUAAGAAUUUACAUAGGGAGCUGGACACUUUGUUCUAUUCUCAGCACCUGGUCAUGCUACUUCUUUGCCCAAAAAUGGGUUUCCCAUCUCAUUCAAAGUGUAAGUCAUAGUCUUAACAAUGGCUAACCAGGUCUUCCACGAUCUGGCCCCACCCUCCCCCCAUACCCCAUUUAUUCCCUGGCUUCACCCACUACUUUACCUCAUGUUUAUUCUGCUUCAGUGACUCUGCCUUCUUGCUUUCUUGAACAAAUCAGGCAUUGCUCCCACAUCAAGC
RNAcentral lists this long non-coding RNA (3682 nucleotides) under Zalophus californianus (California sea lion). Its description in RNAcentral is "lncRNA (ENSZCAG00015016498.1)". The record is from RNAcentral. Lineage: Eukaryota; Metazoa; Chordata; Mammalia; Carnivora; Otariidae.